GACGAACGCUGGCGGCGUGCUUAACACAUGCAAGUCGAACGAAGAGCGACGGAAGCUUGUUUCUAUCAAUCUUAGUGGCGAACGGGUGAGUAACGCGUAAUCAACCUGCCCUUCAGAGGGGGACAACAGUUGGAAACGACUGCUAAUACCGCAUACGAUCUAAUCUCGGCAUCGAGGAUGGAUGAAAGGUGGCCUCUACAUGUAAGCUAUCACUGAAGGAGGGGAUUGCGUCUGAUUAGCUAGUUGGAGGGGUAACGGCCCACCAAGGCGAUGAUCAGUAGCCGGUCUGAGAGGAUGAACGGCCACAUUGGGACUGAGACACGGCCCAGACUCCUACGGGAGGCAGCAGUGGGGAAUCUUCCGCAAUGGACGAAAGUCUGACGGAGCAACGCCGCGUGAGUGAUGACGGCCUUCGGGUUGUAAAGCUCUGUUAAUCGGGACGAAAGGCCUUCUUGCGAAUAAGUGAGA
Molecule: ribosomal RNA, 468 nt
Filed under: Veillonella parvula
Lineage: Bacteria; Bacillati; Bacillota; Negativicutes; Veillonellales; Veillonellaceae
Description: bacterial SSU rRNA
Rfam family: Bacterial small subunit ribosomal RNA
Source: RNAcentral